Molecule: long non-coding RNA, 1539 nt
Filed under: Cicer arietinum (chickpea)
Lineage: Eukaryota; Viridiplantae; Streptophyta; Magnoliopsida; Fabales; Fabaceae
Description: long non-coding RNA (CARI_LNC000945)
Source: RNAcentral
CAAGAUUUUAUGACACUUAUAAAAGUCUUCGUAAUUUAUUUACAACACAAGGCUCUAUGUCAGAUUGUCAUAUAAUAAUGAAAAUCACUAAGAAGCCAAUUAAUACAUUACAAUGUUUAAUGUCACACGUGCUAAGGCUCUAUACCACACAUGCAUAGAAAACUAAUUUUUGCACCAAUCAUGAGAAUUUGCACUUAAUGAAUUAGUGUUCUCCUGUUCAUACUUUUCUUCUCAAUUCAUCGUCUCAUGCCUCUAAAUAUCUUUGGUGUUGAACCCGUUGCCUUAUUCUUUCUUUCGAGUACAUAUUCAAGGCAUUGUACAAUUUUGGUGAUAGCUAAGAAAGUUAUAUAUGCAUGCAUAACAAAUUUGUUACUAAAGGUUUUGGCUAAAGGAGAUUCUAUUGAUAUUUGCAUUUCUAUUUUGGAGAUCAACAACUUAAGACUGGUAACAAAACAUCGGUAUACAUGAGGUAUAAUUUGUUUUUUUUGGGUGAAAGAACAUUUGGAUUUAAAAGUUGUUGUGAUAAUUCUUCAUGGAAGCCAUACUCAUAUUGCAUUGACGUAGAUGAGGGGAAAAAACACCUUAAAAUUGUGUUAUAUUAAUGCAAAUGAAUAUUACAAAAAAUUGAGAAAAUGUAAUACAAUUGAUUACGGAAGCUUAUUUAUAGUCAUUCACAAACAAGUAGAUAAGUGUUAACUUCUUACUAAUAAAUGAUACAUGACUACUAACUAUAUACUUAAUAUAUUGUAAGACCAAUUUGUCUUACAUUAACACAUGAUCGAGUUUAUGACAAGUGUACGUCAACACCGCCACAGUUCAUAAAUGUCCAAAAAAACUGUUUGUAUUAAAAACUUUUUUUUAAAUGGAUUUUUGUUAAAAAUUUGAUAGAAUAAUUAACAUGUACCAAUUUAUUUUUGUUAAGACUAUAAUUAAAGCUUUUUUCUCAAGGACUAAUAUGAGAUAUGUGACUUUUGUAAGGGAUGAGAAUGACAAUUCACUCUAUUAAUAAUAUUGUUAAUUAAUAUAUAAGCAAAGAAAGAAUUACUAAUUUUUUGAGUCAAAUAAUGCACAUUGAAGAAUGUAGUAUAGGAAUUAGGAUUGAGAAUAAGAUCCAGCUAGAACAGAACCAUACUGCAUUAUGGGAUUUUCAUGAACCAUGCAUAGCCGUCUGACCCAUAUGAUGUUACGGAAUUUCAUGCACACCCACAUAUGGCAUUAAAAGUGAGGUGUGGGUUAAGACUUAAGAAUAAGGGAUUGUUAUGAUGGUAUUCUUAAUCUUAAAAAAAGUAAAAUUCAAUGUUUCGCUUUGAUGGAUUUGGUACUCAAAAAGAAGUUAUACCCUACUCAUGCAACAAAUAAAGCAAAAUUAAAGGUCUAAAACUAUUCUUUGCAACUCUUCACAAGCAAAGCCAAUGGACAAAAAGUCAACUAUAAAAAGAUAAGUCACAACUUUUUCUAUACAUCAAUUAUUUUUCAAAUAAUAUAGUGAGAAGGGGAAAAGGUAAGACAGUCAAGGUUUUGUUACAAAUCACAUGAUCA